RNAcentral lists this ribosomal RNA (3045 nucleotides) under Triticum aestivum (bread wheat). RNAcentral's name for it is "partial small subunit ribosomal RNA". Lineage: Eukaryota; Viridiplantae; Streptophyta; Magnoliopsida; Poales; Poaceae. The record is from RNAcentral.
AUGGUGCGCGCGCUCCGGCCUUCUUCCCUCGUCGGCCCGUCCUUCUUCUACGCUCUGCUGCUGCUCGUGGUGGCCGCGCUCGUCGGGCAGCACCCAGCGGGCCCGCUGCGGGUGGCGACGGCGCAGAGCGUGUCGGCGCUGGCGCCGGUGCCGGUGCGCGUCGGGGUGAUCCUGGACUGGGCGACCAAGGCGUCGUCGGCGGUGUCGCUGCGGCGGCGGACCGGCAUUCAGAUGGCGGUGGAGGACUACUACGCGGCGCACCCGGGGUCGGCCACCAGGGUGGAGCUCCAUUUCGGGGACUCCAAAGGGGACGUCGUCGGCGCCGCUUCCGCCGCGUUGGACCUGAUCAAGAACGCGCAGGUGCAGGCCAUCAUCGGGCCCAAGACAUCAGCAGAGGCAGAGUUUGUGGCACAUAUCGGCAGCCGCGCUCACGUCCCCGUGCUCUCCUACUCCGCCACGUCCCCGUCCCUCUCCCCGGCGCAGACGCCCUACUUCGUGCGCACCGCCGCCAAAGACUCCUUGCAGGCCACCCCCGUCGCCACUGUCCUAGCACACUUCGGAUGGCGCGCGGCCGUCGUCCUGCACGAGGACUCGCCCUACGGCACCGGCAUCCUCCCGGCGCUCGCCGACGCGCUCCAGAGCGUCGACAGCGCGGCGAUCGUGGAACGCGUGGCCGUGCCGAGCGGCGCGCACGACAACGCCCUCGACGCGCUCCUCUACCGCCUCAAGGCGAUGCCGACGCGCGUGUUCGUCGUGCAUGCCAAUUUCCGCCUGGCCACGCGGCUCUUCCGGCGAGCGGAGGAGGCCGGGAUGAUGUCCGAUGGCUACGCCUGGGUCGUCACAGAUGGCGUCGGAAGCCUCGUGGACAGGCUCAGCCCCGAGGACGUCGACGCCAUGCAAGGCGUCGUCAGCCUCCGGCCUCACGUGGAGCUCACGAGCCAGGUGAAGAACUUCUCGGCGCGGUUCAGGGCGAGGUUCCGACGAGGCAACCCGGCCUCCGACGACGACGUGAUCAAUGACCCGACCGUGACGAGGCUCUGGUCGUACGACACGGCGUGGGCGAUCGCGGCGGCAGCCGAGGCGGCGAGUGUCCCCGGCCCGGCAUUUCAGACGCCGCAGCGUAGCAGGGCCCUUACAGACCUGGACCGGCUCGGCGUGUCGGCCACCGGAGCAGCGCUUCUCAGAGCGGUGGUCAACACAACGUUCGACGGGAUGGCCGGCAGGUUCAAGCUUGUGAACGGGCAGCUGCAGGUGGCGGCGUACGAGGUCGUGAACAUCAUCGGGAACGGCGCCAGGACGGUGGGGUUUUGGACGCCGGAGUCCGGCAUCCUGCGGGACCUGAACAACGGUGGCGGCAAGGCUGCGCGGCAGCUGAAACCCAUCCUCUGGCCGGGCGAGGCGCUGUCCAAGCCGAGAGGCUGGACCGAGUCGCCGAACGGACGGGUGCUCAACGUCGCCGUGCCGAUGAAGAACGGGUUCAAGCAGUUCGUGGACGUCGUCGGGGAGAAGAACUCGACGACGCCGAAGGUCACCGGGUACUGCAUCGACGUGUUCGAAGCGGUGAUGAAGAACCUGCCGUACCCGGUGAACUACCGGUACGUGCCGUUCCCCCGAAGCCCGGAUUCCUACGAGAAGCUGGUGGACCAGGUGAGCGGCGGGGAGGCAGACAUUGCGGUCGGGGACGUGACGAUCACGGCGAGCAGGAUGCACGAGGCGGACUUCACGAUGCCGUUCACGGAGUCCGGGUGGGCGAUGGUUGUGGCGACGCGGCCGGACACGAGCGCCAGCAUGUGGAUCUUCCUGCAGCCGCUCACCACCAGCCUCUGGCUCGCCAGCCUCGCCUUCUUCUGCUUCACCGGCUUCGUGGUGUGGGUCAUCGAGCACCGCGUCAACCCGGAGUUCCGCGGCACGCCGUCGCAGCAGUUCGGCCUCAUCUUCUACUUCUCCUUCUCAACGCUCGUCUUCGCACACAAGGAGAAGCUGGAGAGCAACCUGUCGAGGUUGGUGGUGAUCAUAUGGGUGUUCGUGGUGCUGAUCCUGACGUCAAGCUACACGGCGAGCCUGACGUCGAUGCUGACGGUCCAGCAGCUCCGGCCGACGGUGACCGACGUGAAGGAGCUGCAGAGGCGCGGCCAACACAUCGGGUACCAGGAGGGGAGCUUCAUCGAGCCCUUACUCACGAAGAUGGGCUUCGACGGGAGGAAGAUGAAGAAGUACAGCACGCUGGAGCAGUACGCCGACGCGCUGUCCAAUGGCUCGGCGAACGGCGGCGUGGACGCGGUGUUCGACGAGAUCCCGUACCUGAAGCUGUUCCUGUCGCAGCACUGCGACGGGUACAUGCAGGUGGGGCCCGUCUACAAGACCGACGGCUUCGGGUUCGUGUUCCCGCGCGGGUCGCCCAUGGUGGGCGACGUGUCGCGGGAGAUCCUGAGGCUGGCGGAGGGCGACCAGAUGGCGCGGAUAGAGAAGGCGUGGUUCGGCGAGCCCGGCACGUGCCGGGACGCGCUGGGCGGCAUCGGCGGCGGCGACGGCUCGUCCAACCUCAGCUUCCGGAGCUUCGGAGGGCUGUUCCUCAUCACCGGCGUCGUCUCCAGCCUCAUGCUGCUGCUUUACGUCGCCAUCUUCAUGUACCGCGAGCGCGACGAGCUCCGGGAGGCGGAGGCGGAGGCCAAGGCCGAGGCCGGCUCCGGGAGCGUGCCCGUGCGGAGGCUGCGCGUAUUGCUGCAGCACUACGACAAGAGGGACAUCAAGUCCCCCACCUUCAGGACGUGGAACGACGACUCCGUCAGGAACGGCAGCGACUACGCGGGCAGGACGCCGAGAUGGAGCGGCGGCGACGCGAGCCUGACGCCGAGGGCCGGUGGGGAGGAACACGCCAUGGGACGGGCGAGCCCGCUGAGCGUGGACAUCAGCUCGGAGAUGAAUGCUGGCUCUUCGCCGGAGGGGACGCCGGUGUCGGAGAUCAGUGAAUCAUUUGAGCAGAGGAUGGAGGGGGCAGCAGCCGCCGUGGAGAUGACAAGGCCAACUGUCUCUCAACUGCAGUAA